CAUUGUCCAUGACUACAACAGGAUAAUCAUAUCUCCAGCUUAGAACAAUCCUUGCUGCUUGCUGUGUGAUCUGCAGCCUCCUUAUCUCACUUUCUGAUGCUUCCCCCAGACCACAGAACAGCACAUUAGUUCACCUGACUCCACAUUGAUGUUUGGUUUCUUUGCCUGAGAGUUUUUCCCAGGAGAUACUUAGCCAUCCUUCUGCAAAUAAGAUGUUUGUACAACUUGCUUGAGAGGAUCUGCAGAGAAGAAUGGGAGAAACUCCCCAAAUACAGGUGUGCCAAGCUUGUAGUGUCAUACCCAAGAAGACUCGAGGAUGUAAUCGCUGCCAAAGGUGAUUCAACAAAGUACUGAGUAAAGGGUCUGAAUACUUAUGUAAAUGUAAUAUUUCUGUUUAUUUUUUCCAUUUGCAUAAAACAAUCUAAAAACC
Molecule: long non-coding RNA, 430 nt
Organism: Oncorhynchus nerka (sockeye salmon)
Lineage: Eukaryota; Metazoa; Chordata; Actinopteri; Salmoniformes; Salmonidae
Exons: 2
Source: RefSeq, a predicted model, not a curated record